RNAcentral lists this ribosomal RNA (468 nucleotides) under uncultured bacterium. Its description in RNAcentral is "partial 16S ribosomal RNA". It matches the Rfam family "Bacterial small subunit ribosomal RNA", at positions 28 to 507 of the family's 1533-position model. The record is from RNAcentral.
GACGAACGCUGGCGGCGUGCUUAACACAUGCAAGUCGAACGGAAAGGCCCUGCUUUUGUGGGGUGCUCGAGUGGCGAACGGGUGAGUAACACGUGAGUAACCUGCCCUUGACUUUGGGAUAACUUCAGGAAACUGGGGCUAAUACCGGAUAGGAGCUCCUGCUGCAUGGUGGGGGUUGGAAAGUUUCGGCGGUUGGGGAUGGACUGGCGGCUUGUCAGCUUGUUGGUGGGGUAGUGGCUUACCAAGGCUUUGACGGGUAGCCGGCUUGAGAGGGUGACCGGCCACAUUGGGACUGAGGUACGGCCCAGACUCCUACGGGAGGCAGCAGUGGGGAAUAUUGCACAAUGGGCGGAAGCCUGAUGCAGCAACGCCGCGUGCGGGAUGACGGCCUUCGGGUUGUAAACCGCUUUCGCCUGUGACGAAGCGUGAGUGACGGUAAUGGGUAAAGAAGCACCGGCUAACUACGUG